UACGGAGGGUGCAAGCGUUAAUCGGAAUUACUGGGCGUAAAGCGUGCGCAGGCGGUUUCUUAAGUCAGAUGUGAAAUCCCCCGGCUUAACCUGGGAACUGCGUCUGAUACUGGAGGGCUUGAGUGCGGGAGAGGGAUGUGGAAUUCCAGGUGUAGCGGUGAAAUGCGUAGAUAUCUGGAGGAACACCGGUGGCGAAGGCGGCAUCCUGGACCGACACUGACGCUGAGGCGCGAAAGCUAGGGUAGCAAACGGG
This 253-nucleotide ribosomal RNA is filed under the name uncultured bacterium. Its description in RNAcentral is "partial 16S ribosomal RNA". It matches the Rfam family "Bacterial small subunit ribosomal RNA", at positions 524 to 776 of the family's 1533-position model. The record is from RNAcentral.